This 594-nucleotide small RNA is filed under the name Caminicella sporogenes DSM 14501. Lineage: Bacteria; Bacillati; Bacillota; Clostridia; Peptostreptococcales; Caminicellaceae. The record is from RNAcentral.
UAUCUUCUACACUUGAGUGGUGCAGUAUUCUAGUCAGAGCAUCUAAUUCUGAAGGCGGGGCUAAAAAUCCGUCAAAGGGCACAUCGAUGAAGUUCCUGGUAUUGGCUUCUGACGCCCAGUCAGGGGUUGAUGCUGGGAGUAAGGAAUAGGGGGCGAUCCACAAUGGCAUGUGGACGGCGACCCUCUUUCCGUGGAGACCUAAAUCUCGAAAGGGAUUAGGAUGAACCUGCAUGUGGUAGAUUUCUGCUACAUGCAGUGUAGCCUGCCUUGAGUGGAAUAGGUGGAUGAAUAGAUUCAGCUUUAAUAUUAUGGGCCCGUAAUAUUAAAGCAUUGCUAUUCUAAACCUAUUCUGCAAAAGAGGCUAGGAAUUAGUAUGCCUGUUGAGGAAAACUCCUAGACUGUUUCCACGUGAAGGUAUAUUAAGGAUUACAGUGCGGACUUAGUGGUAGUCUAGUCUUAUACUUGGCGACAGUAUAAAUAUGGGUUUAAAGGGAAACCGCUGAUCUGGCAACAGAACAGUACCCAUAUGGGAAAUCCUACUAGACCUAAGCCGCAAAGUUUACUUAAUAUACUACCCUCAAGUGUUAGUAUACU